AUCGUACCGAGGGUUCGAAUCCCUCUCUUUCCG
This 33-nucleotide transfer RNA is filed under the name Macaranga angulata. RNAcentral's name for it is "partial tRNA-Ser". RNAcentral also lists the same sequence under 7 other names. The record is from RNAcentral. Lineage: Eukaryota; Viridiplantae; Streptophyta; Magnoliopsida; Malpighiales; Euphorbiaceae.